This 859-nucleotide ribosomal RNA is filed under the name uncultured bacterium. RNAcentral's name for it is "bacterial SSU rRNA". It matches the Rfam family "Bacterial small subunit ribosomal RNA", at positions 603 to 1464 of the family's 1533-position model. The record is from RNAcentral.
UAUGGCUCAACCAUAGAACUGCUUCCAAAACUGAUUUACUAGAGUAUGGGAGAGGUAGAUGGAAUUUCUGGUGUAGGGGUAAAAUCCGUAGAGAUCAGAAGGAAUACCGAUUGCGAAGGCGAUCUACUGGAACAUUACUGACGCUGAGAUGCGAAAGCGUGGGGAGCAAACAGGAUUAGAUACCCUGGUAGUCCACGCCCUAAACGAUGCACACUAGUUGUUGCUAUGCUAGACAUAGCAGUAAUGCAGUUAACACAGUAAGUGUGCCGCCUGGGGAGUACGGUCGCAAGAUUAAAACUCAAAGGAAUAGACGGGGACCCGCACAAGCGGUGGAGCAUGUGGUUUAAUUCGACGAUACGCGAAGAACCUUACCUGGCCUUGACAUAGAAAGAACUUUCCAGAGACGGAUUGGUGCUAGUUUACUAGAGCUUUCAUACAGGUGCUGCACGGCUGUCGUCAGCUCGUGUCGUGAGAUGUUGGGUUAAGUCCCGCAACGAGCGCAACCCUCGUGUUUAGUUACUAACAGUUCGGCUGAGGACUCUAAACAGACUGCCUGGGUAACCAGGAGGAAGGUGAGGACGACGUCAAGUCAUCAUGGCCCUUACGGCCAGGGCUACACACGUGCUACAAUGGGGUAUACAAAGAGCCGCGAUACCGUGAGGUGGAGCAAAUCUCAUAAAAUAUCUCCCAGUUCGGAUUGAAGUCUGCAACUCGACUUCAUGAAGUUGGAAUCGCUAGUAAUCGUAGAUCAGCAAUGCUACGGUGAAUACGUUCCCGGGUCUUGUACUCACCGCCCGUCACACCAUGGGAAUUGAAUUCAUUCGAAGCGGGGAUGCUAAAAUAGCUACCUUCCACAGUG